Molecule: long non-coding RNA, 455 nt
Filed under: Physcomitrium patens
Lineage: Eukaryota; Viridiplantae; Streptophyta; Bryopsida; Funariales; Funariaceae
Description: long non-coding RNA (PPAT_LNC006568)
Source: RNAcentral
UUGAUGACCCUUGAAGUCUUAUUUUGGGCUUCAAGGAGGCUGCUUGAGGCCAUAUUAGGGAUUAGGGUUAGUCUUUUGGAGGGAUUCAAACAUCGGAGGCUAGGGUCUCCAGAUUCAGGUUUUUGGCUAUGGUUUUGGUGAAAAUUUUUAGUCCUUUGGAGUUUUUAAGAAGGAGAUAUAGGCACUCAAAGUUGAAGUGUCGAUUUUGUACUUAUUUUCACUCUUUUGGAUAUAACACACGUAUACAAAAAGCAAUUGAGGAUCGGCAACUAGGAUUGAAGAGAACAAUUUUUUGGCUAUACUUUACAUAUAUUAUUUGAUAAAUUCUAAGUUAGGAUGAAGGAGAUAUUGGAAGUUAAAGUUAGCAUUUAGAAUCUAAGGAGUUGUAAGUGAUCCGAAUUGCUAGUAGUUGAGUUUUGAGCUAUAACUUGUGCAAUUUGACAAGAUUUUGGCUA